Long non-coding RNA from Gasterosteus aculeatus (three-spined stickleback), 3838 nucleotides. NCBI's taxonomy places the organism in Eukaryota, Metazoa, Chordata, Actinopteri, Perciformes, Gasterosteidae. The record is from Ensembl.
GUUACUACUGCGAUUUGAGACGGUCCAAUGUUUCUAUUCUGAGGCCUUGCCCUGAAGGACACUACUGCCCUGCAGGUACAGCCCUGCCCAACCCCUGCCCCAUAGGCUCCUUCAACCCCAGAGAGCGCACGCACAGUGUUGCAGGCUGCACGCCAUGUGCUGCUGGACAGUACUGUCCUUUUGUAGGACUUUCAGAGCCGGCAGGAUCUUGUAAUGCUGGUCAUUGGUGCAGAGGGGGGGCAUCCUCUCCCAGUCCUCUGGAUGGAGUCUCAGGUUCCUUGUGUCCACCUGGUCAAUACUGCCCCACAGGUUACUGGCUUGCCGUCCUUUAUCAACCAAUCAGCCAGCCGCUCUGUCAGUACUGUGUACUGUUGAUGCCUGAAAUGUGACACGGUACAGGCGGUCCCCAAUUUCAAAACAAUAGUUUUAGAAAUCCAGCGCUGAUGCAGCUUUUUUUGCAGGCUAAUGCAACCAAAUUUAUACCGUGUGAAGCUAUUAACAUUCUACCCCAUUUUAUCCAAGGGCUACAAUGUGUUAUUCAUGCAAAUCACCAUUUGGUAGCCCAGGGGAUGUGCUGACAACAUUAGUCUUGUUAUUUUGUAAGUUUUCUUAAAAUGAAUUUGUGCACUUGCUCGUUCUGACUUGGGGGCACUGACCUCUGCUUUAAAGACAUUGCUGAAACGUGAACUCUGCUUUUUUUUCUGCAUGCAGCAAUCGGAUGCCUGAGUACCUCACUUAUCUAGUUACACUUGAAUUCUUCAAGUGUGUAAACCUUAUUAUAUUACCCAAUAACUGCAUUGCUGUUGGCAUCUUUUAAUAGUCUCUUUUUCUGCAUAGUCAUCUGUUCAACGGAAUUGAAAAUGAGAGUUGAACUUCACGUCAUCUUCACAGGCACCACAGCACCAAUGGCCUGCCCUCAAGGAAGCUGGUCCAACGCCUCAGGUCUGCGUAAGCAGGAGGACUGCGCACCCUGUUUAGGGGGAUUUUACUGCAACUCUGUCGGCCUCACCAAACCUAGUGGACCCUGCAUCGGGGGGUAUUACUGCGUAGAGCGAGCCGUUACAUCCGCCCCUACUGAUGGAGUUACGGGCGGACCGUGUCCUGAGGGAUACUACUGCCCAGAGGGCACUGUUCUACCUGUGCCCUGUGAUCCAGGGACAUAUGCUGCUGUCACACAUGCUACGCAGUGUGAGCCCUGUGUGCCAGGCUGGUACUGUGUGUCCGGCUCGCUUUCUUUGUGUCCUACAGGCUUUUAUUGUCCCGAAAGGACUGGAUUUGACUUGAGAGGCUGUCCAGAGGGAACUUACGGCCCUGAUCCUGGCUACUGGUCUGUUUCUCAGUGCAGGCAGUGUGACGGCGGCCAUUACUGCUCUUCCAGAAAUGGCACCGCUGUCACUGGACCAUGUCAUGAAGGAUAUUACUGCUCACAUGGAAACACUUCUCCCCAACCUCAGUCCCAGGCUGCAGAAAAGGGAGGAACAUGUCCUGCCGGUCAUUACUGCCCCCAGGCCACCGUCCAUCCUCUGCCCUGUCCACGGGGAACUUUCACUAACCUCACCAAGUUGGCCUUCCAGGAGGAUUGCCAGCCAUGUCUUCCCGGUUACUAUUGCGAUGCUGUGGGGCUCUCGGGGCUUACAGGAAAAUGCUGGGAAGGUUUCUACUGUGUGGGAGGUGCAGAUCGCCCUGACCCUCCUUUGGGUCAUAAGCACGGAGGGCCAUGCCCAAAAGGUUAUUUCUGUCCUGAGGGCUCUGCGGCUCCUCGCCACUGUCCCUUGGGAACCAUCGGUACGGAAGAUGGUGGAGCCAGCUGCAGUGCCUGUCCUCAGGGUUUUUAUUGUCCUGGCAGACUUAACGGCUCCCUGUCGAGGACUUAUGAGUGUCCAGUAGGUCAUUACUGCCCGUCCGGGACCUGGUCCAAACACCAGUACCCAUGUCCACCAGGAUCCAUCAACCCCCACGCUGGGAUGGCCGAGCCCCAGGACUGCCUGCCCUGCCCUGCAGGCUACUUCUGCUUUACCCCUGGGAUGAGUGUUGCAUCAGGCCAGUGUGACGCAGGGUACUACUGCUUCUCUGGGGCCCGGUCACCCACACCAGAUGACGGAGGGACGACAGGUGAUAGAUGUCCCGAAGGCCAUUACUGUCCCCGGGGUUCCUCAGCACCACUGCCCUGUCCCAUCGGGCAUUACAGCAACAGCACCAGAAACCGUUAUCCCUCCAACUGUCUGCAUUGCCCUCCAGGUUUCAUCUGUGACACUAGAGGGCUCUCUCUCCCUUCUAAUAUCUGCCCAGCUGGCUCCUACUGUCCAGGCAGAGAAAACAGCGGGCAGCAGGCCUCUUCACCUUGCCCACCUGGAAACAUGUGUCCACCUGGAUCCGAUAGACCUGUACCCUGCUUGCCAGGGACCUUCCAGGAUUUAAACGGACAGGCAGAAUGUGUCAAAUGUCCAGCCGGAUUUUACUGUGCUGGUUUGGUGGAUGCGGACACUGGCCAUGUGUCUGGUCCUGCCACUCCGACUCUGUGUCCUAUCGGACACUAUUGCCCACAAGGAACGCAGUCUGGUGUAGCAUUCCCAUGCCCAGCUGGCACUUUCAGCGGGCAGAUGGGGUUGUCCAAUCAGUCGGGCUGUGAGCUUUGCCCUCCAGGGAGAUAUUGCGGUUCCUCUGGACUUGCUGCACCCACUGGGGUCUGCUCUCCAGGUUACCUCUGUAGCCAUGGUUCGGUUUCUUUCAAGCCGGAGGAGGGCCCAACAGGAGGCCGUUGCUCUGCAGGGUCCUAUUGCCCCCAGGGUACCCACUACAUGGUUCCUUGCCCUACAGGCACCUUCAGUUCCAAAGACGGGGCCGUUUCUGUAGAGGUUUGUCGGUCCUGUUUGCCUGGCCAUUAUUGCUCUGCGCCUGGCCUGUCCUCCCCAUCUGGGCCCUGCAACCCAGGUUUCUACUGCAUCCAGGGAUCCAGAACGGCCACACCUAUGGGUGACACCUCAGGAGAUUCCACGUCGCCAUCUCCACUACCUGGUGAUUCAACCCUGGAACAGUUCACUGGCAGUGUGUGUCCUGCAGGCCAUUACUGUCCUAAAGGGAGUGCAAAGCCAAGCCCUUGUCCUCCAGGAACCUUCUUGGGAAGGUCUGCGGCUGAGUCUCAGACUGAUUGUGAGGCUUGUUACUCGGGCUCUUACUGCCCCUCCUGGGCUCAGAGCUUUGUCGACCUCCUCUGUCCCCCGGGGUGGUUCUGUCCACCCGGAUCAGUGUCCGGACAUCAGCCAGGAUGUCAGUGCCCGCCCGGCCAUGCGUGCCCACCUGGCAGUGCCGAGCCGGCCCUCUGUAGCCAUGGCAGUUUUCAAUCUUCCUCUGGACAGUCCACUUGCAACACCUGCCCACCAGGUUUCUUCUGUACUCGGGGUUCAUCCGUGCCAUCGGCGUGUCCGAUGGGCAGCGUCAGUCCCUCGGCUGGCAUUACGUCCCCGACGGACUGCCCCGCCUGCCCCGCUGGCUACUUCUGUAACAGCAGUGCUCUGACAGAGCCGUCCGGAGCCUGCAGCCCAGGACAUUUUUGUUCCCUGGGAUCCACGGAGCCUUCCCCUGUCUCGCAGCCUUAUGGAGAUGUCUGCCCCGUAGGACACUUUUGUCCUGGGAGUAGCGGGUCACCCAAACCAUGUCCUGUCGGCAGCUUCCUCCCAGAGCGUGGAGCUUCUGCCCGCUCUCACUGUCACCGUUGCCCCCCAGGGAAAUACUGCCCGACUCCUGGAAGCUCACAGCCCACAGGUGGGUGAUUUGGACACGUUUUUCAAGAGCGAAAUUUGGCCAAUUGUGCAAAAUCCAUGACAUUGUGUGUUUCAGC